This 465-nucleotide ribosomal RNA is filed under the name Vreelandella stevensii. Its description in RNAcentral is "partial 16S ribosomal RNA". It matches the Rfam family "Bacterial small subunit ribosomal RNA", at positions 338 to 795 of the family's 1533-position model. The record is from RNAcentral. Lineage: Bacteria; Pseudomonadati; Pseudomonadota; Gammaproteobacteria; Oceanospirillales; Halomonadaceae.
CCUACGGGCGGCAGCAGUGGGGAAUAUUGGACAAUGGGGGGAACCCUGAUCCAGCCAUGCCGCGUGUGUGAAGAAGGCCCUCGGGUUGUAAAGCACUUUCAGUGAGGAAGAACGCCUGGUGGUUAAUACCCAUCAGGAAAGACAUCACUCACAGAAGAAGCACCGGCUAACUCCGUGCCAGCAGCCGCGGUAAUACGGAGGGUGCGAGCAUUAAUCGGAAUUACUGGGCGUAAAGCGCGCGUAGGUGGCUUGAUAAGCCGGUUGUGAAAGCCCCGGGCUCAACCUGGGAACGGCAUCCGGAACUGUCAAGCUAGAGUGCAGGAGAGGAAGGUAGAAUUCCCGGUGUAGCGGUGAAAUGCGUAGAGAUAGGGAGGAAUACCAGUGGCGAAGGCGGCCUUCUGGACUGACACUGACACUGAGGUGCGAAAGCGUGGGUAGCAAACAGGAUUAGAUACCCUGGUAGUC